This 468-nucleotide ribosomal RNA is filed under the name uncultured bacterium. RNAcentral's name for it is "partial 16S ribosomal RNA". It matches the Rfam family "Bacterial small subunit ribosomal RNA", at positions 28 to 507 of the family's 1533-position model. The record is from RNAcentral.
GACGAACACUGGCGGCGUGCUUAACACAUGCAAGUCGAACGGAAAGGCCCUGCUUUUGUGGGGUGCUCGAGUGGCGAACGGGUGAGUAACACGUGAGUAACCUGCCCUUGACUUUGGGAUAACUUCAGGAAACUGGGGCUAAUACCGGAUAGGAGCUCCUGCUGCAUGGUGGGGGUUGGAAAGUUUCGGCGGUUGGGGAUGGACUCGCGGCUUAUCAGCUUGUUGGUGGGGUAGUGGCUUACCAAGGCUUUGACGGGUAGCCGGCCUGAGAGGGUGACCGGCCACAUUGGGACUGAGAUACGGCCCAGACUCCUACGGGAGGCAGCAGUGGGGAAUAUUGCACAAUGGGCGGAAGCCUGGUGCAGCAACGCCGCGUGCGGGAUGACGGCCUUCGGGUUGUAAACCGCUUUCGCCUGUGACGAAGCGUGAGUGACGGUAAUGGGUAAAGAAGCACCGGCUAACUACGUG